CCUACGGGAGGCAGCAGUGAGGAAUAUUGGUCAAUGGUCGGGAGACUGAACCAGCCAAGCCGCGUGAGGGAUGAAGGUCCUGCGUAUCGUAAACCUCUUUUGUCAGGGAACAAAGCCCGGCACGUGUCCCCGUCUGCGUGUACCUUACGAAUAAGCAUCGGCUAACUCCGUGCCAGCAGCCGCGGUAAUCCGGAGGAUCCGAGCGUUAUCCGGAUUUAUGGGGUUAAAGGGGUGGGUAGGCGGUCGGUAAAGUCAGCGGUAAAAUCCCGGGGCUCAACCGCGACCCGCAGUUGAAACUGGAAGUCUUGAGUUGAGAAGAGGUAGGCGGAAUUCGUGGUGUAGCGGUGAAAUGCAUAGAUAUCACGAGGAACCCCGAUUGCGAAGGCAGCAUGCCGGGGUGAGACUGACGCUGAGGCUCGAAGGCGUGGGUAUCAAACAGGAUUAGAUACCCGUGUAGUC
RNAcentral lists this ribosomal RNA (459 nucleotides) under uncultured bacterium. Its description in RNAcentral is "partial 16S ribosomal RNA". It matches the Rfam family "Bacterial small subunit ribosomal RNA", at positions 338 to 795 of the family's 1533-position model. The record is from RNAcentral.